RNAcentral lists this small RNA (180 nucleotides) under Allosediminivita pacifica. RNAcentral's name for it is "Roseivivax pacificus caulobacter sRNA CC2171". The record is from RNAcentral. Lineage: Bacteria; Pseudomonadati; Pseudomonadota; Alphaproteobacteria; Rhodobacterales; Paracoccaceae.
AACAUUGAGAAAGGAGGUGAUCCAGUGUCUAGAGAAGCAUUGGAGAAAGGUGUCGGAACAGUUCGGGAGCAGGCGAGCUAGGGCAGCCCCUGGCGCGCACCGCGCCCGAAUUGGCGAAAGCCCUAACCGGCCACCGCCUCCGAAUUCUCGAAGGGCCGCUCCAGAAACCGGAGCGGCCCU